AAGGGGUGUAUUUAUUAGAUUAAAAACCAAUGCCCUUCGGGGCUUUUUGGUGAUUCAUAAUAACUUCUCGAAUCGCAUGGCCUUGUGCCGGCGAUGGUUCAUUCAAAUUUCUGCCCUAUCAACUUUCGAUGGCAGGGUCUUGGCCUGCCAUGGUUACAACGGGUAACGGAGGGUUAGGGCUCGACCCCGGAGAAGGAGCCUGAGAAACGGCUACUACAUCCAAGGAAGGCAGCAGGCGCGCAAAUUACCCAAUCCCGAUACGGGGAGGUAGUGACAAUAAAUACUGAUACAGGGCUCUUUUGGGUCUUGUAAUUGGAAUGAGUACAAUUUAAAUCCCUUAACGAGGAACAAUUGGAGGGCAAGUCUGGUGCCAGCAGCCGCGGUAAUUCCAGCUCCAAUAGCGUAUAUUAAAGUUGUUGCAGUUAAAAAGCUCGUAGUUGAAUCUUGGGCCUGGCUGGCCGGUCCGCCUCACCGCGUGCACUGGUUCGGCCGGGCCUUUCCCUCUGGGGAAUCCCAUGCCCUUCACUGGGUGUGGCGAGGAACAGGACUUUUACUGUGAA
RNAcentral lists this ribosomal RNA (560 nucleotides) under Xylariales sp. LRAFW1. Its description in RNAcentral is "SSU rRNA". It matches the Rfam family "Eukaryotic small subunit ribosomal RNA", at positions 196 to 761 of the family's 1831-position model. Lineage: Eukaryota; Fungi; Ascomycota; Sordariomycetes; Xylariales. The record is from RNAcentral.